ACGAACGCUGGCGGCGUGCUUAACACAUGCAAGUCGAACGGAAAGGCCCUGCUUUUGUGGGGUGCUCGAGUGGCGAACGGGUGAGUAACACGUGAGUAACCUGCCCUUGACUUUGGGAUAACUUCAGGAAACUGGGGCUAAUACCGGAUAGGAGCUCCUGCUGCAUGGUGGGGGUUGGAAAGUUUCGGCGGUUGGGGAUGGACUCGCGGCUUAUCAGCUUGUUGGUGGGGUAGUGGCUUACCAAGGCUUUGACGGGUAGCCGGCCUGAGAGGGUGACCGGCCACAUUGGGACUGAGAUACGGCCCAGACUCCUACGGGAGGCAGCAGUGGGGAAUAUUGCACAAUGGGCGGAAGCCUGAUGCAGCAACGCCGCGUGCGGGAUGACGGCCUUCGGGUUGUAAACCGCUUUCGCCUGUGGCGAAGCGUGAGUGACGGUAAUGGGGAAAGAAGCACCGGCUAACUACGU
RNAcentral lists this ribosomal RNA (466 nucleotides) under uncultured bacterium. RNAcentral describes it as "partial 16S ribosomal RNA". It matches the Rfam family "Bacterial small subunit ribosomal RNA", at positions 29 to 506 of the family's 1533-position model. The record is from RNAcentral.